GACGAACGCUGGCGGCGUGCUUAACACAUGCAAGUCGAACGGAAAGGCCCUGCUUUUGUGGGGUGCUCGAGUGGCGAACGGGUGAGUAACACGUGAGUAACCUGCCCUUGACUUUGGGAUAACUUCAGGAAACUGGGGCUAAUACCGGAUAGGAGCUCCUGCUGCAUGGUGGGGGUUGGAAAGUUUCGGCGGUUGGGGAUGGACUCGCGGCUUAUCAGCUUGUUGGUGGGGUAGUGGCUUACCAAGGCUUUGACGGGUAGCCGGCCUGGGAGGGUGACCGGCCACAUGGGGACUGAGAUACGGCCCAGACGGCUACGGGAGGCAGCAGGGGGGAAUAUUGCACAAUGGGCGGAAGCCUGAUGAAGAAACGCCGCGUGCGGGAUGACGGCCUUCGGGUUGUGAACCGCUUUCGCCUGUGACGAAGCGUGAGUGACGGUAAUGGGUAAAGAAGCACCGGCUAACUACGUG
This 468-nucleotide ribosomal RNA is filed under the name uncultured bacterium. Its description in RNAcentral is "partial 16S ribosomal RNA". It matches the Rfam family "Bacterial small subunit ribosomal RNA", at positions 28 to 507 of the family's 1533-position model. The record is from RNAcentral.